UGAGGAGAUGAAUGGAGAAAUAUCAUCUCUUUCAGACACAAUCAGAAACAUAGAGAAGGAAAUGGAAGCUGAGGACAUUCUGUUCUUACAGUAUCCCUUUCAGAACUUCAAGUCUACACAGAAAAAAGCUCAGCUCAAACCAAAGGAUCCAGGUAAGACAUCAGGAGCUCUGAUCAAUGUAGUGAAACACCUUUCCACAGUCUGCUUCUGCACUAAUGACACAUUGUUUAUAAACUAUUAGUAACAUGUUAUCAUGUUCUCUUUAUUCAGGGUGUAAAAAGGACACUGAAACUGUACUUAAGUGAAAGUAUGAAUACUGUACUGUGCAGAAAUCUCACUCAGAUAAAAAGUAUGGAGCUAAAAUUAUACUUGAGUAAAAGGAUGAAGUAUCAAUGUUUAGACACACUCAAAUAAAUCAAACUAAAAAGCACAUUGUUUAAAAAUAUUUUUUUACAGUUAAGUAUAAUUUUUAUGUCAAAUCAUUUCUAGUUUUUGCAAGUGUGUGGGGGUGGGGGUCCUCACCCAAGGGGGCUAAAGGAAGCCCUCUUGCGAGUGCCAGCGAAACUAAGGUCAUAUCCACUCAGUACUAAGCCCCUGUAGCUCAACUCGUUACCAGCUUGGGAGAGGACCCAAGGGAGCUAAAGUAAGCCCUCAUGCGAGUGCCAGCAAAACUAAGGUCAUAUCCGCUCAGUACCAAGCUGUGGCAUGGGAUCAAAGUUAACAGAAGUGUCUGUGAGGAUGUCAGCUUUGUGGUUAAUUUCUUUGAAGAAGUCCCAGAUAGCCCCUUUUAUCACCUCCAAAUCUUUCUGGCUCAAUACGGGUUCAUUGGAUGUACUGUUGUCCUGACCUGUCCAGGGUGUAUCCUGCCUUCCACCCAAUGACUGCUGGGAUAGGCUCCAGCUCCCCCUGCGACCCAGAAGGAUAAGCGGCUUAGAAGAAGAUUGUUGUCCUUAUGUGGGUGCUUUUUUUUUCUUCCCUCAUCAAGUACAUCAAUUUGCCCCAAGCAUGGGAGUUUUGGUAGGGAGUCUUUUACCCCAUUCUCGCGGGGUGGGCAGUUUGGGUGCUCUACCAAGUUGUUCUUGGCUUUGCCCUAGCUCUUUGUCCUGGGAUUUAAGUUAUGUCACCACCAUGAUAGCUAUUUUACCAUGUUAUUGGUUUACCUGUUUCUCAGACAGUGGCCACAUACCCCAAAAGUACAGCCUUAGUUAUGUCUGUUAAAACUGAGUCUAUCUCAUUUAGUAGAUUUCUUCCACUGGAGGCUAGGGACUGGAAGUUGUCCGCCAUGUCGCCUAAUAAUUAGUGAGGUAGUGGAGUUUGAUUAUUGACUUUGUCCCGUAUUAUUCAAAUCAAGCACUAGCCUGUAAUGGAUUUGAUACCAAUCAGCACUUAUGUAAGAGUUUAUCAAUACUGUGCAGAUUUCAAAUGCUUCUGCACACAGUUAUCUAUAAAGUGUAUGUCUAUCCUAGCACAUAAAUUACACAUUGGGAUUAAGGUAGGCUUAUUUAAUCUCAACCAGCAAGGAACUUAACAACUAUCACCAGUAAGAAUUAUAGUUUCACCAUCGGAAUACCAGUGUGACCACUCCUAAUGCCACAAUUCCAGCCGUACAAUCACACAGUGCCAUUCACCUGCAACCAGUGAGUAACUCCACUAGGCUGGUGGAACACUGGACAGGUGGGACCCUGGACUGGCAGUUAAAGUCCUCUCGGGCUGUUUCAAAAUUGGACACCCCAGGGAGGUGUCACUUGUAUCAGUGUUCACCUUGGGGUAGACUCAAAACUGACCAGCCAUGGAUGCAAUAACUUGAGUAGAGGGUACCUCCAGGUGGUUUGGCCAAAAAGGGAAGAGAGCUCAAACCCAGGGAAUAAAGACCCACAUUGCUGGAUCCAACUGAGCCAACCUUCAGGGGUCAGAUCAGAAGGGACCAGAUCCAGGUGCAAUAAAUCUCGAUAUUGAAAACUUUCUACUAAAGGUCACACCAACUGCCAAAAGGGGAAGACACAAAAUUGAGAGAAUAAAAGCCCACGUUGUUGAGUCAAAACUGAACACCAAUUAAAUUAACAUUGUUCACACUACUAAGCAAAAAAUAACACUUAACACAACACAUGAAAUUUUAAUGGGUUAAACUAUGGUUUGCCAGAAGCUAAUGCCAAGCUAACCAAAUGGUAAUGCUAGUCAGAAGGGCUGAAUGCUGACUUGUUUUAAUAAAGCCAUGCUCUGCCAAAGGCAGGCCUCAGCUAUGCUAACAGCAGACCUCGGCUACACUAACAAUAGACCUCGGCUAUGCUAACAGCAGACCUCGGCUACACUAACAGUAGACCUCGGCUAUGCUAACAACAGGGAGCUUUAAAUGUAAACAAAGCUUAACCAAAGCUAACACUAAGCAGCUAACAUCAGAACAAUGGCCCUAGUGAGGAAUGGUGGAUGUAAACAAACAGCUGCGUAACUGCAGCAGAAAUAGCUGAUGGUUGCCUCACUUAGAAUGGUCAGCAGAAAUUGUAAUGAUAAUAUGUAGCAGAACAAGUUUCAAUUAUGUUAAUAUUGCUUGACUCUCAAAUAAAAAGUUGAAUUUACCAAAAUCUACAGAUCAAAAAUAAGAGAGGUAAAAUGCUCACACCAGGGAGGCUUCAAUGAAAAGGGAAUAAUGGAUAAAUAAUGUAAUUCACAGUUAAAAUAUUAUGAGACAAUAUAGCUUAAGGCAAUUUCUGGGAAGCCAACUGAAAAUGUAGGCGUGAAAGGGACCUCCAGUGAGUUAAUCUAAGUAUGGGCAUAUAUAGCUUUAUGGGUAUGUAUGUCUAUCAAAGAAUAUUAACCUAUUAAAUAAAAUAGCAUUGAAAACCUGAGUGCAUAAAAUGUGAGCACCGUCGAGAAGACAGACUUCAAGCCCUCCAGGAGGGGUCACUUGGGAGCCAUCUUGAUUUGGAGAAGCACACGUGCGGGUGUCUCGAGGCUGCACAAGGAUGCAUGGCUGCGGGUGAAGUUCCGAGGUCUGUGUGGCAAUCAGAAGAUUGUGGUGCAAUCAGGUUUCCGAGUCUAGUUGAUAUUAACCUAACUCAAUCCCUCCAUUUGGCUGAGAAGAAUUUGAAGUAAUCAGUCGAUGCCCGGUCAGCAGACUGUUUCAUCUUCCUUUCCUUUCUUUGAGCUCAGAACUUAACUGCCAAAAUGCAUUGUGCUUGGGUUUUGAUUGGCUGUAGGCCCUCCCCUUUGGAGGUGGAGCCAGAGUGCAGAUAGGUCCUUCUCAUGUAAAGAGUAAUUAGCUAUUCAUUGUUUCCAACUCUGAUUGGUAGUGCAUAAUCUAUGAGUGCCUCUCCAAGUAUCACACCCUACUUUGUUUUUAAAUCUUAAACUGUUAUAAACCAGGCAAUGAUAUGCCAUUUACAUACCAUACCAGUUUAGGAGGAUUAUUCCUUUAAACUUGCAAAACCAAACGAAAAAAACAAGCAGAACAUUUGUUUAUGUUUCGUACCAGAUAGUUUUACCCAUGUUACCUAAAAAACAACACACAUAUUAAAAGACACAAGUGUAGCGUGCUUUGCUGUUUUUAAUUCAUAAACUGAUCAGAACUUUUUGAGCAAAGUGAGAUCUGCAUCUGCAUGCGGCAGGAUGUUUAGCAGGACCAAUAGUAAAUUUAUGGCUGACUGCUAAAGACAUGUCUCACAACCCCCAUUUGCCCCCCCCCCGCCUUUGGCAACCUGGUGCAGAAGUGGGGAGGGGGGUGGCUCACCUCAGAACAGACCUACUUUGACCCAGAGGUCUGAAGACUUUCUUUUUCUGUCGACUAACAGUUUAAGGGCAACGUAAUGGAACGUUAUGCCACCCCUUUAUAAACGUCCUGAAGAGACCUUUGGACGUCACUGAAGUAAAUUUUGGGAUACUAACAAAUUGUGACUUUUGAAAAUUCCUCUCCCUCUCUCUCACACCCAUACAUCUCACCUUCCUCCACAAAGAGAGACAUCUUAUCUAAAACAAAGGCCAAAGAUGGCCCACCAAUCAACCCUGGGUGAGGGGAGUGUUGAGACCUCACGAAUCCCUGAGCAGACCCCUCGGUGUGGCCAGAUACUCUUAAGUGCAUUCCUUCAGUAUCAUAAAUUUGGGGUCUGUGCAGAGGCUAGGCUCCUGAGAGCCCUGCUUUCUGGCAAAUUAUUCACUAUGUGAUCUUUAAUCAAGUAUCAAUCAAAUGCCUUUCCUUUAUCAAACUGUGAAGAACACCUCUGUUACUGUUAACAUGUUGCCUUGUCAGAUGUGAAUUGAUUAAUCCCUGCCGAAGGGAGCUAAUACCAAACUUUCUACACUGUAUUCUUUUAUAUUCUAGUAGUUAUUUUGAUUCUUGAAUUGUAACCCUUCUUCACUGAUCUAGGUUAUUGUAUUGAUCUUUGAUCAUUCACAACUAUAUUCAUUUCACCUAUUAUAUAAUUUUUCUUUUUCCUUUGUUUGAGAAACAAGUCUUCUUGUAGUGUUAUUAGAAGCAGGAUUCUAAAGUUUGUAGCUUGUGUGACUAUGUACACUUUAAUCAUAGAGUUUCUGCCAACAUAUCUAUAAAAUUAUUGAUGAUUAUGUACUCACUUAUUUUACUCUGAGUUAUUAUGUAACCGUUCGUGUAAGCAUUGUUUAGAAAUAGUAAUUGACGUAUAACCUUGAAAUUGUCUUUUAACAAUGUAAUUCUUUUGUCUAAGUAGUUCCUACUUCUUAUAUGACUAGAAUGGUUAAGGAUUCAACUAAUUGUAUGUAACCAUAUUAUGGUAUACGUUAAGGGAUAAUAAUCUGUAAGCUCCAUAGUCAUUUGUAAUAGUCACUAUGGAAAUAAUAAUGUUUUAUAUAUGAAAUUGCAUGCUUCUAAGUUUCUUUUACUUAAGUGUAACCACACCCAGAAUAUCCAAAGGAUUAUGUGACACUUGAGCAGCAUUCAAAGAAAUUGCAUGUUCAUUAUAUGCAACCUAACAAACCAAACAGAACCUUUUCCCCGCCUUAGCUCUGCCUUAGCUCUGCCUCAAGUUCUUUCUUUAAAGUCAGCAAGAAAGAGAAACAGUCAGAAGAAUGAGAAGAAGAAACAGAAAGACAGGGAAAGUUGGCCCUGAAGGGAGCGAGACAGCCAACAUGUAACCUUAACGAAACUCGAAGUAGAGAAGCCUGUUCUCCUCGUUUUGCACUUUAGCCAAGUUCUGCAGAUCUGAAAUGUUAGUUGUUUGUCUUGUGUCUUAAUCCGUUUUGUUACAUUUACUCAGUAAUCUUAAAGUGUUGUAACUGUAAGGUUAGACUAUUGAAGAGUUGCAUCUAGCUGUGUUUGUUUUUCAAGUUUCGUCAAUCUAUUUUGAAAGUCUAAUUGCCAAAGAUUGGCCGCUCAGAACCUAGUUUUAGAACAGAAACAGAGGCAAAACAGUGCUGACCGAAAUCCACAUCAAGAGCCUGCUCCGACCACCACCUGCCUCCAUCGCCAAGAAGAAGAUCUGCGCUCCUCACCGGAGAGGCCGCCAAGUGUCGCCGGAAGCCUGCCUUGCCAGUGGGGUCCGGUCCAAAGCGUUGACCAAGGGCUUGCACCUCUAGCGGCCUUGCCUUUGACCUG
This is a long non-coding RNA of Colossoma macropomum (tambaqui), 5560 nucleotides long. RefSeq lists it as uncharacterized. The transcript has 3 exons. NCBI's taxonomy places the organism in Eukaryota, Metazoa, Chordata, Actinopteri, Characiformes, Serrasalmidae. The record is from RefSeq and is a predicted model, not a curated record.